This 731-nucleotide long non-coding RNA is filed under the name Setaria viridis. RNAcentral describes it as "long non-coding RNA (SVIR_LNC004704)". The record is from RNAcentral. Lineage: Eukaryota; Viridiplantae; Streptophyta; Magnoliopsida; Poales; Poaceae.
CUCAUUUACUAUAUCAUUCAACCGGUUAAACAUCGAGGAAACAUCUUCAUCCUUUUUCAUUGAGAAAUCACUAAACUUUCCCUUGUAUACAUAAAGUUUAGCUUCCUUCACGGUGGAUGUUCCCUCAUGAAUUUCCAUAAGGCCCCGUUUGGGUCCAAGGAAUUGGAAUCUAUUUAAUGGAGUAGGCUAAUUUAUGUUGGAAUGUGGCAUUCCACAACUUUCCAAAGUUUAGAUAUAAGCCUAUCUUAAAUUCAUGGGGUGGGAGAUGGAAAUUGAUUCUAUAGAUUAUGGUUAUUAGAUGGAAUUCAAUUCUUAUAGCACGCUCUUAGACUCACUUCUCUAUAGUAGAAGUGCAGCAUACAAGUAUCUCUCCCAUAUCACCAACUAUAAUAUACAACUAUAUUCCACAUACAAUUAUAUUAGCUUAAUUAAUUUGUGUCUAAAUUAUGAUUAUUAGGAUGGAAUUCAAUUCCAAUGAUCCAAACGGGACCUAAGCUUAUUCCAAAUAUCAUAUGCGGUUGUGAGAUUCUUGACCCGAUUGAACUCACUAAUGUCAAGAGCACCAUAUAGCACAUUCAUGGCUUGAUCAUUGAGUAGCUCAUUUGCUUCAUCGGCUUUACUCAUAUUCUUCUCAUCAAGAAUAAUAAAUCCCUCAUUCACAAUCCCCGUAUCUUCUUUCCAAUUGCCUUAAGAUGAACCAUCAUUCUUGUCUUCCAAUAAUCAUAAUUGUU